Molecule: ribosomal RNA, 1542 nt
Filed under: Shigella boydii
Lineage: Bacteria; Pseudomonadati; Pseudomonadota; Gammaproteobacteria; Enterobacterales; Enterobacteriaceae
Also listed under: 2 other names
Description: 16S ribosomal RNA
Rfam family: Bacterial small subunit ribosomal RNA
Source: RNAcentral
AAAUUGAAGAGUUUGAUCAUGGCUCAGAUUGAACGCUGGCGGCAGGCCUAACACAUGCAAGUCGAACGGUAACAGGAAGCAGCUUGCUGCUUCGCUGACGAGUGGCGGACGGGUGAGUAAUGUCUGGGAAACUGCCUGAUGGAGGGGGAUAACUACUGGAAACGGUAGCUAAUACCGCAUAAUGUCGCAAGACCAAAGAGGGGGACCUUCGGGCCUCUUGCCAUCGGAUGUGCCCAGAUGGGAUUAGCUUGUUGGUGGGGUAACGGCUCACCAAGGCGACGAUCCCUAGCUGGUCUGAGAGGAUGACCAGCCACACUGGAACUGAGACACGGUCCAGACUCCUACGGGAGGCAGCAGUGGGGAAUAUUGCACAAUGGGCGCAAGCCUGAUGCAGCCAUGCCGCGUGUAUGAAGAAGGCCUUCGGGUUGUAAAGUACUUUCAGCGGGGAGGAAGGGAGUAAAGUUAAUACCUUUGCUCAUUGACGUUAUCCGCAGAAGAAGCACCGGCUAACUCCGUGCCAGCAGCCGCGGUAAUACGGAGGGUGCAAGCGUUAAUCGGAAUUACUGGGCGUAAAGCGCACGCAGGCGGUUUGUUAAGUCAGAUGUGAAAUCCCCGGGCUCAACCUGGGAACUGCAUCUGAUACUGGCAAGCUUGAGUCUCGUAGAGGGGGGUAGAAUUCCAGGUGUAGCGGUGAAAUGCGUAGAGAUCUGGAGGAAUACCGGUGGCGAAGGCGGCCCCCUGGACGAAGACUGACGCUCAGGUGCGAAAGCGUGGGGAGCAAACAGGAUUAGAUACCCUGGUAGUCCACGCCGUAAACGAUGUCGACUUGGAGGUUGUGCCCUUGAGGCGUGGCUUCCGGAGCUAACGCGUUAAGUCGACCGCCUGGGGAGUACGGCCGCAAGGUUAAAACUCAAAUGAAUUGACGGGGGCCCGCACAAGCGGUGGAGCAUGUGGUUUAAUUCGAUGCAACGCGAAGAACCUUACCUGGUCUUGACAUCCACGGAAGUUUUCAGAGAUGAGAAUGUGCCUUCGGGAACCGUGAGACAGGUGCUGCAUGGCUGUCGUCAGCUCGUGUUGUGAAAUGUUGGGUUAAGUCCCGCAACGAGCGCAACCCUUAUCCUUUGUUGCCAGCGGUCCGGCCGGGAACUCAAAGGAGACUGCCAGUGAUAAACUGGAGGAAGGUGGGGACGACGUCAAGUCAUCAUGGCCCUUACGACCAGGGCUACACACGUGCUACAAUGGCGCAUACAAAGAGAAGCGACCUCGCGAGAGCAAGCGGACCUCAUAAAGUGCGUCGUAGUCCGGAUUGGAGUCUGCAACUCGACUCCAUGAAGUCGGAAUCGCUAGUAAUCGUGGAUCAGAAUGCCACGGUGAAUACGUUCCCGGGCCUUGUACACACCGCCCGUCACACCAUGGGAGUGGGUUGCAAAAGAAGUAGGUAGCUUAACCUUCGGGAGGGCGCUUACCACUUUGUGAUUCAUGACUGGGGUGAAGUCGUAACAAGGUAACCGUAGGGGAACCUGCGGUUGGAUCACCUCCUUA